UACGUAGGCAGCAAGCGUUGUUCGGAGUUACUGGGCGUAAAGAGUGCGUAGGCGGUUUUCUAAGUUCGGUGUGAAAUCUCCCGGCUCAACUGGGAGGGUGCGCCGAAGACUGGGGAGCUGGAGUGUGGGAAAGGCAAGCGGAAUUCCUGGUGUAGCGGUGAAAUGCGUAGAUAUCAGGAGGAACACCGGCGGUGUAGACGGCUUGCUAGACCAUGACUGACGCUGAGGCACGAAAGCGUGGGGAG
Molecule: ribosomal RNA, 245 nt
Filed under: uncultured bacterium
Lineage: Bacteria
Description: partial 16S ribosomal RNA
Rfam family: Bacterial small subunit ribosomal RNA
Source: RNAcentral